GACGAACGCUGGCGGCGUGCUUAACACAUGCAAGUCGAACGAUGAACCACUUCGGUGGGGAUUAGUGGCGAACGGGUGAGUAACGCGUGGGCAAUCUGCCCUUCACUCUGGGACAAGCCCUGGAAACGGGGUCUAAUACCGGAUAACACUGUCACGGGCAUCUGUGGUGGUUAAAAAGCUCCGGCGGUGAAGGAUGAGCCCGCGGCCUAUCAGCUUGUUGGUGGGGUAAUGGCUCACCAAGGCGACGACGGGUAGCCGGCCUGAGAGGGCGACCGGCCACACUGGGACUGAGACACGGCCCAGACUCCUACGGGAGGCAGCAGUGGGGAAUAUUGCACAAUGGGCGAAAGCCUGAUGCAGCGACGCCGCGUGAGGGAUGACGGCCUGU
RNAcentral lists this ribosomal RNA (388 nucleotides) under uncultured bacterium. RNAcentral describes it as "bacterial SSU rRNA". It matches the Rfam family "Bacterial small subunit ribosomal RNA", at positions 28 to 419 of the family's 1533-position model. The record is from RNAcentral.